GAUGAACGCUGGCGGCGUGCCUAAUACAUGCAAGUCGAGCGAACAGAUGAGGAGCUUGCUCCUCUGACGUUAGCGGCGGACGGGUGAGUAACACGUGGAUAACCUACCUAUAAGACUGGGAUAACUUCGGGAAACCGGAGCUAAUACCGGAUAAUAUAUUGAACCGCAUGGUUCAAUAGUGAAAGACGGUUUUGCUGUCACUUAUAGAUGGAUCCGCGCCGCAUUAGCUAGUUGGUAAGGUAACGGCUUACCAAGGCAACGAUGCGUAGCUGACCUGAGAGGGUGAUCGGCCACACUGGAACUGAGACACGGUCCAGACUCCUACGGGAGGCAGCAGUAGGGAAUCUUCCGCAAUGGGCGAAAGCCUGACGGAGCAACGCCGCGUGAGUGAUGAAGGUCUUCGGAUCGUAAAACUCUGUUAUUAGGGAAGAACAAAUGUGUAAGUAACUAUGCACGUCUUGACGGUACCUAAUCAGAAAGCCACGGCUAACUACGUG
This 497-nucleotide ribosomal RNA is filed under the name uncultured bacterium. Its description in RNAcentral is "partial 16S ribosomal RNA". It matches the Rfam family "Bacterial small subunit ribosomal RNA", at positions 28 to 507 of the family's 1533-position model. The record is from RNAcentral.